Molecule: long non-coding RNA, 1118 nt
Organism: Monopterus albus (swamp eel)
Lineage: Eukaryota; Metazoa; Chordata; Actinopteri; Synbranchiformes; Synbranchidae
Exons: 4
Source: RefSeq, a predicted model, not a curated record
UUUCUUCAACAAAUUAUUUAAAUUGAAUAAUCUGUGAAGUUUACAGAGGGUAGAAACUAUUGCUUUUUUCAAGGGCAAGAAACCAAAAAUGUGGGGAACCACUGCUGUACUUUUAUAAUGUAUUUAAAAUAACAAGCUUAAAGUGGAGCAGAAGGGCAAGUUUAAAGUAACAAGCUGUCAGAUAAAUGUAGUGACCACCACUGUUCUCUCUCUCUUUCUUAGCGGUGUAUAUUUUGGGUAGGCAAUGAAAUUUGGGUAUAAAGAUUUUUUUUUAAAAGUAGCAUCGCUAGCAAGUGCAAAGAUUAUUUUGGAUAGAAAACAUCCAGUUUAGCAGAGCGAGCUAAAGCAGAAUGGCUGGAAACUGGGCUGACAUGUUGAUCUCCCUCCAUGCAGAGGAAUAACAGCAUGACUGCCUCGUGUGAUGACCCAUCCCUCACUUCGGAAAAAGACAAAAGCCUGAGUAAAACUGGACAAAGAAGAAAGUCGGAUACAGAAGACAUGGGUGAGCAUUUCAUAAGUGUCCUUGGGCAAGACACUGAACCCCCCCACAUCAUGGCUUGACAAAAAUGACUUUAGAGAAGAGCUUCGGGGAUGAAACACGUGGAUGAAACCAAGCCAUGUGUCAACGUGCUGUGGAGGUCCUGUCGCAUCUAUCAGUGAAGUGUCACAACACCUUUAACUAAACAUCAGAUACAGGACAGUCGCCUGAUUCCAGAUGCUUACGGCACAUUUACUGGAGAAAUGACCAGGGACAGGGCUUCUCGUUCAACAGCUGAUAUUAUAUUCCGGUUGUCAUCCUUUUGUAAUGUUCAUAUUCAGCUGGUGGCUGUAAUGUUUCAUGGUUCACCCUGACAACUUACUGACAACUUACAAAUAGUGAAAGGCUACUUGCCAAAUUUUGAAAUUUGCUGACAUGGAAAUCUAUUGAUUCAAGAGUUUCAGUGUGGUUUGAAAGUAUAACGGGUUUGAUAUUGACAGAUAUGUUGUAACUGGGGUCACUGUAAGUAUAAUAAAGGCAGAGGAAUUACCAGGUUUUUUAACAGGGUGAGACACUACUGUUUAUCUUGUAUUAAAUGUUUUAAGAUCUUUUAACUCUUUAGUUUCUUUGCAUGACCUGC